AGAGUUUGAUCCUGGCUCAGGAUGAACGCUGGCGGCGUGCCUAAUACAUGCAAGUCGAGCGAACGGACGAGAAGCUUGCUUCUCUGAUGUUAGCGGCGGACGGGUGAGUAACACGUGGAUAACCUACCUAUAAGACUGGGAUAACUUCGGGAAACCGGAGCUAAUACCGGAUAAUAUUUUGAACCGCAUGGUUCAAAAGUAAAAGACGGUCUUGCUGUCACUUAUAGAUGGAUCCGCGCUGCAUUAGCUAGUUGGUAAGGUAACGGCUUACCAAGGCAACGAUGCAUAGCCGACCUGAGAGGGUGAUCGGCCACACUGGAACUGAGACACGGUCCAGACUCCUACGGGAGGCAGCAGUAGGGAAUCUUCCGCAAUGGGCGAAAGCCUGACGGAGCAACGCCGCGUGAGUGAUGAAGGUCUUCGGAUCGUAAAACUCUGUUAUUAGGGAAGAACAUAUGUGUAAGUAACUGUGCACAUCUUGACGGUACCUAAUCAGAAAGCCACGGCUAACUACGUGCCAGCAGCCGCGGUAAUACGUAGGUGGCAAGCGUUAUCCGGAAUUAUUGGGCGUAAAGCGCGCGUAGGCGGUUUUUUAAGUCUGAUGUGAAAGCCCACGGCUCAACCGUGGAGGGUCAUUGGAAACUGGAAAACUUGAGUGCAGAAGAGGAAAGUGGAAUUCCAUGUGUAGCGGUGAAAUGCGCAGAGAUAUGGAGGAACACCAGUGGCGAAGGCGACUUUCUGGUCUGUAACUGACGCUGAUGUGCGAAAGCGUGGGGAUCAAACAGGAUUAGAUACCCUGGUAGUCCACGCCGUAAACGAUGAGUGCUAAGUGUUAGGGGGUUUCCGCCCCUUAGUGCUGCAGCUAACGCAUUAAGCACUCCGCCUGGGGAGUACGACCGCAAGGUUGAAACUCAAAGGAAUUGACGGGGACCCGCACAAGCGGUGGAGCAUGUGGUUUAAUUCGAAGCAACGCGAAGAACCUUACCAAAUCUUGACAUCCUUUGACAAC
RNAcentral lists this ribosomal RNA (1009 nucleotides) under Staphylococcus aureus DAR5816. Its description in RNAcentral is "bacterial SSU rRNA". It matches the Rfam family "Bacterial small subunit ribosomal RNA", at positions 8 to 998 of the family's 1533-position model. RNAcentral also lists the same sequence under 2 other names. Lineage: Bacteria; Bacillati; Bacillota; Bacilli; Caryophanales; Staphylococcaceae. The record is from RNAcentral.